This 220-nucleotide ribosomal RNA is filed under the name uncultured bacterium. RNAcentral describes it as "partial 16S ribosomal RNA". It matches the Rfam family "Bacterial small subunit ribosomal RNA", at positions 15 to 224 of the family's 1533-position model. The record is from RNAcentral.
GAUCAUGGCUCAGGAUGAACGCUAGCUACAGGCUUAACACAUGCAAGUCGAGGGGCAGCAUGGUCUUAGCUUGCUAAGGCUGAUGGCGACCGGCGCACGGGUGAGUAACACGUAUCCAGCCUGCCGUCUACUCUUGGCCAGCCUUCUGAAAGGAAGAUUAAUCCAGGAUGGCAUCAUGAGUUUCACAUGUCCGCAUGAUUAAAGGUNUUUCCGGUAGACG